RNAcentral lists this long non-coding RNA (3589 nucleotides) under Olea europaea subsp. europaea. The record is from RNAcentral. Lineage: Eukaryota; Viridiplantae; Streptophyta; Magnoliopsida; Lamiales; Oleaceae.
AUUUAUUAUCAUCAUAAAUGUGCUCAAGAUAUCACAAAGUUUACAUGCACAAGUAUAGUAAAAAAAUAAUUUACGAAUCAUAAAAAGUUCCAAAUACGUAUCAUAACUGACAAAGCCACCCUACGAUUACACAAAACCACAUAUAACAAGAAAAUUGUUUUUUGAGAUUUCUUUUCCUUUUUUUUUUUCAAUUUUUUUCUUAGCUCCUUAUAAUAAUAAUAAUAAUAAUAAUUGGUGGCCUAAAUGUGUAUAUGAACGUAAAUGUGUACAUGAUAUCCUUUAAUAACCAAAUUUGAAAUAAUCCAUCAACCGUCCUUGAAAUGGAUGGAAUGGUGGUUGGCUUAUUUUGUGAAAAAAAAUUAAUUGGAAUUAGGCGUUUGUUUGGCCCCCAUCAUUUUCAAUAUAAUUUUCACUCUUUGUUGUCCCACAUAUUAAAUUAUUUUUUUGGUCUGACAAUCACAUCCCUAAUGGCUUAUUGCUGUGAAGGAACUCUGCUAUAUGUCCAGAAAAUAACUGUCAAAAAAAAAAAAAAAAAAGUUGAACCCCAACCUUGAGGGCCUCACCCCUAGAGUUUUGUGAGGGAGGUAAAUCGAGGGAUGUACUCCAACAGAUCAGGGAACAAGAGCUACUUGUACACUGCGCCUACAAUGAGUCAAAUCCCAUGUUUCAGGAAUCGAACCUCCACACUGCGGCUGUCAACAAACUGUCAAAAUUAAUAUGGAUGACACUUGGAAGCAAUAUGUCGGAUAAUGAAAAAACAAACAGAUAAAUCACGGGGAGAUUUGGCUUGAAAGUUGUUGAUUCCAUCUCAAAACCGAUCACCAUCUACUGUGAUGACAGUGCAGCAGUAUUCUUUUCAAAGAAUAAUAAAAGUUCUGGUGGAUCAAAACAUAUUGAUAUCAAAUAUUUGGUUGUUAAAGACAUAGUCAAAGAAGGGCAAACGAAAAUAGUACAGAGGCAAUGAUUGCAGACCCUUAGAUUAAGGGACUCGCUCCAAAAGUUUUUAAGACACAUGUUACUAAUAUGGGCAUUCUGAAAACAUUUGAUAUUUUUGGUUAGUGGGAGAUAUUUAUGUAAAGAACUACGUUUUGAGCUUUAUCCCUUUACGGGGUACGUAGACAACCCAUAUGUUUUCAGGUACAACCCCUUCUGAUAAUAAAAUAAUUUUUCCCCUAUCCAUGAACUAUUUUAAGCAUACAUUUGACUUAUGUCUUUUUAUAUUAUUGGCAUCUUGAAAUAUGAUAUAUAAAGACAUAAGAUUGAUCUCUUUUGAAGACAUGUUGCUUCAUUUUGAUUCGAAGCAUUAUGAGGGCCAAUAUGAGUUAGCACAGUUUUUUAUCACAUUUGGUGUUAAGUUCAUACCAUAUACUACCACAUUGGUUGGAGGAUGGGGAUCCAUGUCGAUAAGGAUGUUGAUAAUUGUAGCUGCGGAAUGGUCUUACAUCGCUUAAUUGGUAUAAUAACUUCCAUGUUUGGUGUUAAUAUUCUUGUUGGACCGGAUCAUAUUACGUAAGGUGUCAUCAUUGGAGCUAAACUUUUGUGGCCACCUAUGCAGUCUAGCCCGGGUGUUAAAACUUUGUUAUGACAAUCAAAUGUUUACCCAAGUGGGAGAAUAUUGGAAUAAUUAAUAAUUUCAUAUGUGGGCUUUACAUUCGAUUGCAAAUUUUACGGAUUAGAUAUAUGACUCAUAAUGAUAUUUGUGUUUUGGCCAAAUUUAUUAAGUGAUUAAUUGGGUCUUUUACACCUUACGAGUUGUACUUAAUUUGAUAUGGUAAUUUAAAGUAUGUGGCCCAGAAAUAAACCCUAAUUAGAAUUCUAGUCUUUAUGGGACGACUCAAAUUAUUUCCUAUAUAAAAGCUAGGUCCCCUCUCCUCUGUUUUUGGCUUGCCCCAUUGAUAGCUAAUACUUUGUGAGGAUCAAAGAGGGGGAGAUCUUGGCUUCUAUUAUAACUAUUAUUCAUAUCAACGAUGGCUUCCGCAGGUAUGAAUUCGAUUUAUCAAUUUAUUAUUCUGUGAUUUUUGUUCUUAGCAUGAUUGCAAUUAAAUUCAACACGUUGCUCUGCACUUUUUUUCACUUCGACUGUAUUGUCUUCAUCCUACCUCUUGUACUGAGGAAGCAAUCUCGGCUAUUAUUGAAUCCCUAUAUGCAGAAAGCGCAGUUCUACGGUACCAUGUACGUUUUCAUUUUAUGCUUUAAUCCUAAGUUUUUCUAAAGGGACAUUACCCUAUAACGAAAUAGAGAUCACAUGCACACACAUGGACAAAGUAGAUAGAGAGCGACUCUCAAUACUUGAGCUUUUGUGUUUGGGAAGUUGGUUCUGGUUGUAACUAGAGGAAUUGACUCUAUUACUUGAAUGUCUAAUGUUCUAUUGACCUGUUCUCCGGGUUGCAUAUUGCUUGCUUCAAAUAGGGAACAACAAAGCUUUUCAUGCUCUAUCCCAGGUUUUUCAGAAUGCCUCUGAACAUCCUCUAGUUAGACAUAAUGCCGCUAAGGUUCUUCGUUUUCAGCUAGUCUAGACGUAGGAGUAGAUUGUUUCUUCUUUUUUUGGUGGGGCGGGGGGACUGCAAUAGACCAUCAACGCAAAUCUCUAAAUUAUUUUGUGUUUUCCAAUUAAAUUAAUUUUAUGAGUUGGUGAAAAAGUUCCAACAAAUUGAUAUAAAAAUUUUAAGGGCAUUGAAGGAUUAAAUUCAUUAGAGUUCUGAGACUAGGAAACUCUUAUAAAGGAACUUAUACCUGUCACUUGAUGCAAAAUCUCUCAAAAAGAUUGGCACAGACUUUACCAAUUACCAUGCUGUUAUGUACAUAUUUUUAUGGAUGAAGAAUAGGUGUAAAAAGAAAAAAUAAUCUGGUUUAUUCUCUAUAUAUUUUACUUGAUCUUCAAUCGUAUAAUUUUCCUUUUUUAUUUUGCACAAUUCUUCUUUCAUGCAUCUUAUGGAUUUGAAGACCGCAAAUGUAUCAUGCUGCUCGAGGAAUUUGCUGAGGAUCCUCCCAAAGCUGUGAACUUGCUAUUAGGAAGCUUGAUUUUGAGAGAUCAGCACGGCACUUUCUGGUAAAUCUCGAUUUUGACUUAUUUUUCAUCCCUUUUUCCAUUCUUCAUACGAAAUGAGUUUAUAAGGUAAAUAUAUAUUCCAAUUCUCUUUUUUUAUUCUCACGUAAAUGUUUUGAGUUAAUUUUUUUUUGUGAAUUUUCAGAUUGCUGUUGUCAAACCACACCAUACCAUUGGUACUAGCUUCCAAGAUUGGAUAUCAGCAAAGAACACUAACAAGGCAUGAUAUGUUAAUUAAAGAAGAAAAGAACACUAACUUUUUCCCUUUUUGUUACCGGGCCCCGGGCAUUUCAGGAAUUGGGCUUCUUUUGUAGGGAUAAAGCCCAGUCCAAUACACAGAAAAAUGGAAUUAAUUUAAGGAAUUUCAGCUACAAUUAAAGUGGCCCAUGAAUGGCCAACCAAAAUUUCACUUUAAAUCUCUUUCCUCCUAGUCCUCUUCAUUUCCUCAGGCUCCGUUCUCUCGUACAUUUGCUACAAUGGAGUAAAUCUAGUAUUUUAUGAAUCAUUCUAAAGUAAAGGGACUUUAUAGCAAAGACACUAUGC